RNAcentral lists this long non-coding RNA (1271 nucleotides) under Lotus japonicus. Its description in RNAcentral is "long non-coding RNA (LJAP_LNC000893)". The record is from RNAcentral. Lineage: Eukaryota; Viridiplantae; Streptophyta; Magnoliopsida; Fabales; Fabaceae.
AAACAACUGAUUCAGUUAAACAAAUUUUUAUCAUGUUAGAAACAAAUUCAAAAUCCCCACUUACUGUUGUGAGAGAUUAUCGCCUUUCCAAACAUAAGGAAGAGAUGGUGCUCAUGGAUGGACAGUUCACUACAGAGUUCAUAACUCCAGUGGAUAUUACAUGCCACUAGGGAAUCACUGUUGGUUGUUAAGCCCCUUUCUAGCCAAUUCAGAACCUUUCCUUUCAAAUUUUUGAGCCACAGGUGUUGUUCUUGUUUCCCUCAUUACAUGGAAUCCUAUGAGCAAGCUAUUAAAGAAGCCCAACUACAUUAAAUUAAAUAGAAUGUCAUAAGUAAUGGAACAAAAGGAAUGGAAAACAGAAAGUACAAGCCAAAUAUAGGGAACCUCCCAAAUAUAGCGCACAAUACAUGAGAUGCCCACAUAUCCUACCUUAACAUUCAACAAUGUACAUAGCUCUCCAAAACUCAUUGAGGCAACUAUAAAUUUACCCCGGCCAGGUCACAACGACAUCAUCACUAAAACAUAGCUACUGCCUACUGGGUGAGUUCAUUAAAAAAAAAAAAGAUCCCUGAGAUCAAUGAAGAUCAAACGUUUUCACAUUAUGUCUUGGUAUUCUCCUUCAAUGCCAAGAAAAAGGAAGCCAGUGAUCCUUGAUGUAUUUUUCCUCAUAAACAGAAUUGUAUGUUUAGCUAAACAUUGGAAGCUAAAAGGAUAAAGAUGAUUGUUAGAAACUACUACUAUAUCAUAUUACAAGCAUAAGACUAGGAUAGAAGUUAUAUUUACUAGGCUUCAUCUGUCAAUGCUAAAUGAAAAUCACAAUAAACGUGCUGGCUGUCCUUUUGGGGGAAAAUGCAGCUUAUUAUGUCUUUUGUUGUUCCAGUUAGUAACAUCUAAGUGAUCUAACCAUUGGUAAAACCAAAAAAGCAACCAGCUCAUUUAUAGGCCACCAAGUCAACAAAGUUUUAGAUUUCGUUGGCAAAGGGAGGGUAAGAGGUAGCAUUCCAGGAUCCCUUGGCCUUCCAAACACGGUAUGAGUCUUCCCUGACCCACUAGACCCCAGUGCCACUAACAUUCCAUUUCUACCCUUAAGAAACUCCUCCACUAUGGGUCUCACCUUCUCUCAUAAACUUCAAACUAGAACCACGAUCAAACUGUUUGCUAGGAGAACCACCAAUUAUGAAAACAUUGUGAGAGUUAGAAUACCGUUACGAUUACCUGGAAUGUACCCUCGGCCUUCCAAUCAGGUUCUUUCUGCCGCAUUACAUGUCAAU